This 506-nucleotide ribosomal RNA is filed under the name uncultured bacterium. Its description in RNAcentral is "partial 16S ribosomal RNA". It matches the Rfam family "Bacterial small subunit ribosomal RNA", at positions 30 to 523 of the family's 1533-position model. The record is from RNAcentral.
AUUGAACGCUGGCGGUAUGCUUAACACAUGCAAGUCGAACGGCAGCAUGGUCUAGCUUGCUAGACUGAUGGCGAGUGGCGGACGGGUGAGUAACGCGUAGGAAUAUGCCUUGAAGAGUGGGACAACUUGGGGAAACUCAAGCUAAUACCGCAUGUACUCGAGAGAGUAAAGCUGGGGACCUUUAGGCCUGGCGCUUUAAGAUUAGCCUGCGGCCGAUUAGCUAGUUGGUAGGGUAAAGGCCUACCAAGGCGACGGUCGGUAGCUGGUCUGAGAGGAUGAUCAGCCACACUGGAACUGAGAGACGGUCCAGACUCCUACGGGAGGCAGCAGUGGGGAAUAUUGGACAAUGGGGGGAACCCUGAUCCAGCAAUGCCGCGUGUGUGAAGAAGGCCUGAGGGUUGUAAAGCACUUUCAGUGGGGGGGAGGUUUGGAAGGUUAAGAGCUAUUCAAAUGGACGUUACCCACAGAAGAAGCACCGGCUAACUCCGUGCCAGCCGCCGCAGUAA